AAAAAAAUAAAAAAUAAUAAAACCAAAUUAUUAUUGACUUUUUUCAAAAUUUAGCAUACAAUCAAUAUGUGUUGUGUCAUGUGGCAAUAAAUUAUUAAACAGAUAAAUAAAUAAAACCAACAAUAAAACAUAAAAGAUAAAAUAUAAUUAAAUCUCCUCUUCUAUCUUAUCCUACUUUUUCUUCUACAACUUUUUCAAUCUCUCUAAAAUCCCUAUUUAUCUCAAUUUCAAUGGAAAGCAAAAAACUAAAAUAAAAUCUUCUUCAUCCCUACAUGUCUAAAAC
RNAcentral lists this long non-coding RNA (283 nucleotides) under Lathyrus oleraceus (garden pea). RNAcentral describes it as "Pisum sativum (pea) long non-coding RNA (PSAT_LNC015100)". Lineage: Eukaryota; Viridiplantae; Streptophyta; Magnoliopsida; Fabales; Fabaceae. The record is from RNAcentral.